RNAcentral lists this ribosomal RNA (901 nucleotides) under uncultured bacterium. RNAcentral describes it as "bacterial SSU rRNA". It matches the Rfam family "Bacterial small subunit ribosomal RNA", at positions 505 to 1402 of the family's 1533-position model. The record is from RNAcentral.
GUUUCAGCAGCCGCGGUAAUACGUAGGGUGCGAGCGUUAUCCGGAAUUAUUGGGCGUAAAGAGCUCGUAGGCGGUUUGUCGCGUCUGUCGUGAAAGUCCGGGGCUUAACCCCGGAUCUGCGGUGGGUACGGGCAGACUAGAGUGCAGUAGGGGAGACUGGAAUUCCUGGUGUAGCGGUGGAAUGCGCAGAUAUCAGGAGGAACACCGAUGGCGAAGGCAGGUCUCUGGGCUGUAACUGACGCUGAGGAGCGAAAGCAUGGGGAGCGAACAGGAUUAGAUACCCUGGUAGUCCAUGCCGUAAACGUUGGGCACUAGGUGUGGGGACCAUUCCACGGUUUCCGCGCCGCAGCUAACGCAUUAAGUGCCCCGCCUGGGGAGUACGGCCGCAAGGCUAAAACUCAAAGGAAUUGACGGGGGCCCGCACAAGCGGCGGAGCAUGCGGAUUAAUUCGAUGCAACGCGAAGAACCUUACCAAGGCUUGACAUGUUCUCGAUCGCCGUAGAGAUACGGUUUCCCCUUUGGGGCGGGUUCACAGGUGGUGCAUGGUUGUCGUCAGCUCGUGUCGUGAGAUGUUGGGUUAAGUCCCGCAACGAGCGCAACCCUCGUUCCAUGUUGCCAGCACGUCGUGGUGGGGACUCAUGGGAGACUGCCGGGGUCAACUCGGAGGAAGGUGAGGACGACGUCAAAUCAUCAUGCCCCUUAUGUCUUGGGCUUCACGCAUGCUACAAUGGCCGGUACAAUGGGUUGCGAUACUGUGAGGUGGAGCUAAUCCCAAAAAGCCGGUCUCAGUUCGGAUUGGGGUCUGCAACUCGACCCCAUGAAGUCGGAGUCGCUAGUAAUCGCAGAUCAGCAACGCUGCGGUGAAUACGUUCCCGGGCCUUGUACACACCGCCCGUCAAAC